ACAAAGGAUGAGUAUUUUGAUAGCUUCUCAUUCCUUGAACUAUUCUGCAGGUUUAUAACAAAGCUCAGAAAAUACUAAAGGUUAAAGGAGAAUUGAGAGCUGCCAAGGAAAUGAAAGAUGAGGCGGGGGAGAGAGACAGAGAAGUGAGCAGCCUGAACAGCAAGCUGUUAAGCCUGCAACUUGACAUCAAGAAUCUGCACGAUGUCUGCAAGAGACAGAGGAAGACCUUGCAGGACAAUCAGCUCUGCAUGGAGGAGGCAAUGAACAGCAGCCACCUCAUUGCCCUGAAAAUAUCAGAUCAUAGUGAUACAAGGGGAGCAGCAUCUGCUAUGGAUCUCAGACAAACUUCUAAGUCAACCAUGAAAAUAAAAACCAUCACACCUGCACUAAGGACAAGAAGCAAGCACAGGCAUUAGCAUUCGAGGAGUCAGAGGUGGAAUUUGGGUCCAGUAAACAGUGUCAUCUGAGACAACUCCAGCAACUGAAGAAAAAAUUGCUGGUCCUUCAACAAGAACUGGAGUUUCGCACAGAGGAGUUGCAGACU
This 544-nucleotide small RNA is filed under the name Pan troglodytes (chimpanzee). RNAcentral's name for it is "processed transcript". The record is from RNAcentral. Lineage: Eukaryota; Metazoa; Chordata; Mammalia; Primates; Hominidae.